Molecule: ribosomal RNA, 253 nt
Filed under: uncultured bacterium
Lineage: Bacteria
Description: partial 16S ribosomal RNA
Rfam family: Bacterial small subunit ribosomal RNA
Source: RNAcentral
UACGAAGGGGGCUAGCGUUGUCCGGAUUUAUUGGGUUUAAAGGGUGCGUAGGCGGCUUUGUAAGUCAGUGGUGAAAUAUGUCAGCUCAACUGAGAGGGUGCCAUUGAUACUGCAGAGCUUGAGUACAGAUGAGGUAGGCGGAAUUGACGGUGUAGCGGUGAAAUGCUUAGAUAUCGUCAAGAACACCUAUAGCGAAGGCAGUUUACUAGGUUGUAACUGACGCUGAGGCACGAAAGUGUGGGGAUCAAACAGG